CGCAGUAAACGAUGAANNNUAAUUGUUCGGGGGGCAACCCCUGAGUGAUACAGCGAAAGCGUUAAGUAUUCCACCUGGGGAGUACGCCGGCAACGGUGAAACUCAAAGGAAUUGACGGGGGCCCGCACAAGCGGAGGAACAUGUGGUUUAAUUCGAUGAUACGCGAGGAACCUUACCCGGGCUCAAACGUUGGGGGAAUGCUCCUGAAAGGGAGCAGCCAGCAAUGGUCGCCAACGAGGUGCUGCAUGGUUGUCGUCAGCUCGUGCCGUGAGGUGUCGGCUUAAGUGCCAUAACGAGCGCAACCCCGGCGUCCAGUUACCAUCAAGUCAUGUUGGGGACUCUGGACGGACUGCCGGCGCAAGCCGUGAGGAAGGCGGGGAUGACGUCAAAUCAGCACGGCCCUUACGUCCGGGGCGACACACGUGUUACAAUGGCGUGGAACAGCGGGAAGCCACCUGGCGACAGGGAGCGGACCCCUAAAACACGUCUCAGUUCGGAUUGGAGUCUGCAACUCGACUCCAUGAAGCUGGAUUCGCUAGUAAUCGCGCAUCAGCCAUGGCGCGGUGAAUACGUUCCCGGGCCUUGUACACACCGCCCGUCAAGCCAUGGGAGCCGGGAGUGCCUGAAGUACGUAACCGGAAGGAGCGUCCAAGGGUAACACUGGUGACUGGGGCUAAGUCGUAACAAGGUAACCA
RNAcentral lists this ribosomal RNA (695 nucleotides) under uncultured bacterium. RNAcentral describes it as "bacterial SSU rRNA". It matches the Rfam family "Bacterial small subunit ribosomal RNA", at positions 798 to 1502 of the family's 1533-position model. The record is from RNAcentral.